GUGAGUGACCUCGCGGGUGGGCGGGGCCUGGGGGUCCGUUCCCCAACUUCCUCGGCGCUCCGGACUCCCAAGUCUCCGCCGGACCCUCCUUUGGAUAUUCCUCGUGUCUCCGAUUCUGAGACAGAGGGGGAAGACGGUGGGGCCUCCCCACCUGCCCCGCAGAAGAUGCAGUUCUUUGGCCGCCUGGUCAAUACCUUCAGUGGCGUCACCAACUUGUUCUCUAACCCAUUCCGGGUGAAGGAGGUGGCUGUGGCCGACUACACCUCGAGUGACCGAGUUCGGGAGGAAGGGCAGCUGAUUCUGUUCCAGAACACUCCCAACCGCACCUGGGACUGCGUCCUGGUCAACCCCAGGAACUCACAGAGUGGAUUCCGAUCACAUGCCCAGUAGUUAACUGUUAAUCAACGCACUCUCUGUGGAACAACAGGCUGGUCCCGUUGAGCCAACACUCUCUGGGCACUGCCUUCACUA
RNAcentral lists this long non-coding RNA (471 nucleotides) under Homo sapiens (human). RNAcentral describes it as "non-protein coding lnc-BAIAP2L2-4:1". Lineage: Eukaryota; Metazoa; Chordata; Mammalia; Primates; Hominidae. The record is from RNAcentral.